CCCUAGCCCCGAUAGAAGUGGAAAUCCUUUUAUGGCGGGGUUCGCCAUAAAAGAUUGUAAUGUAUAGCGGGAUUAGCU
RNAcentral lists this small RNA (78 nucleotides) under Flavobacterium sp. 9. Its description in RNAcentral is "Flavo-1 RNA". It matches the Rfam family "Flavo-1 RNA". The record is from RNAcentral. Lineage: Bacteria; Pseudomonadati; Bacteroidota; Flavobacteriia; Flavobacteriales; Flavobacteriaceae.